This 504-nucleotide ribosomal RNA is filed under the name uncultured bacterium. RNAcentral's name for it is "partial 16S ribosomal RNA". It matches the Rfam family "Bacterial small subunit ribosomal RNA", at positions 29 to 523 of the family's 1533-position model. The record is from RNAcentral.
AUUGAACGCUGGCAGCAGGCCUAACACAUGCAAGUCGGACGGUAGCACAGAGAGCUUGCUCUUGGGUGACGAGUGGCGGACGGGUGAGUAAUGUCUGGGGAUCUGCCCGAUAGAGGGGGAUAACCACUGGAAACGGUGGCUAAUACCGCAUAACGUCGCAAGACCAAAGAGGGGGACCUUCGGGCCUCUCACUAUCGGAUGAACCCAGAUGGGAUUAGCUAGUAGGCGGGGUAAUGGCCCACCUAGGCGACGAUCCCUAGCUGGUCUGAGAGGAUGAGCAGCCACACUGGAACUGAGACACAGUCCAGACUCCUACGGGAGGCAGCAGUGGGGAAUAUUGCACAAUGGGCGCAAGCCUGAUGCAGCCAUGCCGCGUGUAUGAAGAAGGCCUUCGGGUUGUAAAGUACUUUCAGCGGGGAGGAAGGCGAUGCGGUUAAUAACCGCGUCGAUUGACGUUACCCGCAGAAGAAGCACCGGCUAACUCCGUGCCAGCCGCCGCCGUAA